This is a long non-coding RNA of Camellia sinensis, 458 nucleotides long. RefSeq lists it as uncharacterized. The record is from RefSeq and is a predicted model, not a curated record. NCBI's taxonomy places the organism in Eukaryota, Viridiplantae, Streptophyta, Magnoliopsida, Ericales, Theaceae.
GUAGAAAACACAAAGUAAGAGAGAAAGAAAAGGAAAAUGAAUGCAUUCAUGUGUAUGUGCUGGAAAGAACAAAAUUGUGUGUGUGAGAGAGAGAGAGAGAGAGAGACCAACUCUAUGUGCUGGAAUCGUGAAUGAAAGCAAGGGGAAAGCUUGGGGAAAAGUGAAGAAUUGAAGAAAGACUCAAGAAAUUGUGAAGAAACUCAUCAAAUUGAAAGUUUUAGGGUCAACUACAAGGGCGAACCAGGCAUUUGAACGCUGUGAUCAGGCACAUGAUCAGGCUUAGAGGCAUCUGCCUGGAAUUUAUUUUUGUCAGCCAACUUGUGUGUCUCCUGUGGAAGUUCCGGAUAUGUCAAGUGGUUUUGGUUAUGUGAUUAAAAUUUAAGUUUUGUUUUCUUGUUUGGUUAAACAAGUCUUUGUUUAUUUUGUAAAUAGGGCUAAGUCCCUUUUUGUCUAGUUUG